RNAcentral lists this ribosomal RNA (492 nucleotides) under uncultured bacterium. RNAcentral describes it as "partial 16S ribosomal RNA". It matches the Rfam family "Bacterial small subunit ribosomal RNA", at positions 29 to 507 of the family's 1533-position model. The record is from RNAcentral.
AGUGAACGCUGGCGGUAGGCCUAACACAUGCAAGUCGAACGGCAGCACAGUAAGAGCUUGCUCUUACGGGUGGCGAGUGGCGGACGGGUGAGGAAUACAUCGGAAUCUACUUUUUCGUGGGGGAUAACGUAGGGAAACUUACGCUAAUACCGCAUACGACCUACGGGUGAAAGCAGGGGAUCUUCGGACCUUGCGCGAUUGAAUGAGCCGAUGUCGGAUUAGCUAGUUGGCGGGGUAAAGGCCCACCAAGGCGACGAUCCGUAGCUGGUCUGAGAGGAUAAUCAGCCACACUGGAACUGAGACACGGUCCAGACUCCUACGGGAGGCAGCAGUGGGGAAUAUUGGACAAUGGGCGCAAGCCUGAUCCAGCCAUACCGCGUGGGUGAAGAAGGCCUUCGGGUUGUAAAGCCCUUUUGUUGGGAAAGAAAAGCAGCAGGUUAAUACCCCGCUGUUCUGACGGUACCCAAAGAGUAAGCACCGGCUAACUUCGUG